Molecule: RNA transcript, 2942 nt
Organism: Vigna angularis (adzuki bean)
Lineage: Eukaryota; Viridiplantae; Streptophyta; Magnoliopsida; Fabales; Fabaceae
Gene name: putative receptor protein kinase ZmPK1
Exons: 4
Source: RefSeq, a predicted model, not a curated record
AGGCAUAAUUCAUAGCCCAAGCAACUUGCAUAUGUUGUCAUUUUCGAUUUGAUUCUUUCUCUGUUUUUAUUUAUUAUUCAACCGCUAGAACCCCACCAGGAAGACAUAAAACAGCAAGGCAUAGCAUAGCAUGAGAAAAUUCAUCAAUGGCAGCUUCAACACUGUGUUUGGCUCUUCUCGUUCCUCUCAUCUUCUUCCCUAGCUUUCAUGCUUCAUCUUCCGUCUCUCUCUCCGUAGAGAACUUCAAAGAAGAAGUCAUAGUGUCAUCACCCAAAGCAACAUUCACGGCAGGCUUUUACGCCGUCGGACAAAACGCUUUCUGCUUCGCAGUAUGGUACACCCACUCACCAGACACCCUUGUUUGGAUCGCCAACCGGGACCAACCGGUUAACGGAAAACGCUCCACGCUCUCCCUUCUCAAAUCCGGUAACCUCGUACUCACCGACGCCGGUCAGUUGCAAGUGUGGUCCACCGGCACCACCACCUCAUCCAGACAAGUCCGCUUACAUUUGUACGACACCGGCAACCUCGUACUCCUCGAAGAUUCCUCCGACAGCGCUGUUUUGUGGCAGAGCUUCGAUUUCCCGACCAACACACUUCUUCCAAACCAGCCUCUGAGAGGGAGCACCAACCUCGUUUCCUCGAGAAGCGGGAGCAACCACUCCUCCGGUUUCUACAGGCUCUUCUUCGACUUCGAGAAUGUUCUGCGGCUCAUGUACCAGGGCCCUCGAGUUUCCAGCGUUUUCUGGCCCUACGCUUGGCUUCAGAGCAACAACUUCGGUAAUGGCAACGGCAGAUCCACUUUCAACGAUAGCAGGGUUGCUGUGCUUGAUGAGUUGGGUGGCGUGCUUUCUUCCGACAACUACACUUUCAGAACGAUCGAUUACGGGACGGUGCUUCAGCGGAGAUUGACCCUCGAUCAUGACGGUAAUGUGAGGGUCUACAGCAUGGUAGAUGGACAAGAGAAGUGGGUGGUAUCAGGGCUGUUUCGCCCACAACCUUGUUUUAUCCAUGGCAUUUGUGGACCCAAUAGUUACUGCACAAAUAACCCAACAACUGGCAGAAAGUGUUCCUGCCUUCCAGGUCACAGAUGGAUUGAUAGUCAAGACUGGACUCUAGGUUGCAGACCGAAUUUUGAUCCUUGGUGCAACACCACUAAGCAAGAGUCUCGUUUCGUGGGCUUAUCUGAAUUUGAUUUUUAUGGAUAUGAUUACGGCUUCUAUCAGAAUCACACUUACGAACAAUGUGUGAAUCAGUGCUUGAAGUUGUGCGAAUGCAAAGGGUUUCAGUUCAGUUUUUCGGACCAAGGUGGUUUCGGUAGUCAGUGCUACCUGAAGACACAGUUGCUGAAUGGGCAUCAUUCAGUAAGUUUCUCGGGAUCAUUCUUCCUGAGACUGCCUUUGUCUCAGGACUAUGAGAACCCCAUCAGUAAUGUUUUGGUUUGCGGGGGAAAUAGCGGAGGAGUGAAAGAACUAGAAAGACCGUAUGUGGAAGAAAAAGAAAAUGGAUCGGUGAGGUUCAUGCUGUGGUUUGCGUGUGCCUUGGGAGGACUUGAGGUUCUGUGCUUCUUUCUGGUGUGGUGUUUUCUGUUUAGGAAUAAUGCUGACAAACAAGCCUAUGUUCUUGCUGCGGAAACAGGGUUUAGGAAAUUCAGUUACUCUGAAUUGAAACAAGCUUCCAAAGGUUUCGGUGAAGAGAUUGGAAGGGGUGGUGGAGGUACAGUGUAUAAAGGUGUCUUGUCUGAUCAUCGGGUUGUGGCGAUAAAAAGACUACAUGAAGUAGCAAGCCAAGGAGAAAGUGAGUUCCUGGCUGAAGUAAGUAUCAUUGGAAGACUUAACCACAUGAACUUAAUUGGCAUGUUAGGGUUUUGUGCGGAGGGAAAAUAUAGGUUGUUGGUUUAUGAGUACAUGGAGAAUGGUUCUUUAGCUGAGAACCUUUCAUCGAGUUUAAAUGUUCUUGAUUGGACCAAGAGGUAUAACAUUGCUUUGGGAACUGCAAGGGGUCUUGCUUACUUGCAUGAAGAAUGCUUGGAGUGGAUUUUGCAUUGUGAUAUCAAGCCCCAAAAUAUACUUCUCGACUCUGAUUACCAACCUAAGGUAGCUGAUUUUGGGUUGUCUAAGCUACUUAACCGGAACAACCUCGACAAUUCAACCUUCUCGAGAAUAAGAGGAACAAGAGGCUACAUGGCACCGGAGUGGCUUUUCAACUUGCCAAUCACUUCCAAGGUGGAUGUCUACAGCUAUGGCGUUGUUGUCUUGGAGAUGAUAACUGGAAGGAACCCAACAGCAGGUAUCCAACUCUCAGAAUUGGACGCUGAAUCACAUAAUCAUGGGAGGUUAGUGACAUGGGUGAGGGAGAAAAGGAAGAAAGGGUCAGAAGUGGGAUCAUCUUGGGUGGAUCAAAUAGUUGACCCUGCUUUGGGAUCAAAGUAUGAUAGGAAUGAAAUUGAGAUAUUAGCUACGGUGGCUUUGGAAUGUGUAGAGGAAGAGAAAGAUGUGAGACCCAGCAUGAGUCAUGUUGUUGAGAGGCUCCAAAGUUACGAGCACAAUUCUUGAUGGUUUUGAACAAAGAAUAGCCAGACAUUGCAAGGUUUUCACCUACCUUGUUUGUUUAUCAUCCACGUUUAGUCUUGCUGUUGUAUAUCAUAUUCUGGUGCUUUGAAAUCGAGUUGACUCCAUCUCCCUGGAAUCCAGGUGGACACUUGCAACCUUUGGUGUGGUCAUCCUGCAUAAUCAUUUAAGAAAGCAUAUAUCAACAUUAAAAGAAAAAAAACAUACAAGCAAGAAAAUUGAAAAGAGGAUGAAGAGGAUUACUUACAAUACAAGCAGAGAAAGUCGUGCUACCUCUGGUUUCUUUCCAACAACCUCCGUUGUUGAUUGCACACCUCAAGGCCCCUGUAGCUGCUUUGAAAUAAAAAUGUGAAUGUGAAUUUAUAUUUUGAA